GUUAAUUUAGUUUAAAUAUAAAAAAUAGAGGUUUGUGGUACCUUAGAUGAAUGAAUUCAUUUAACU
RNAcentral lists this transfer RNA (66 nucleotides) under Batracomorphus fuscomaculatus. Its description in RNAcentral is "tRNA-His". The record is from RNAcentral. Lineage: Eukaryota; Metazoa; Arthropoda; Insecta; Hemiptera; Cicadellidae.